AUUGAACGCUGGCGGCAUGCCUUACACAUGCAAGUCGAACGGCAGCGGACCUUCGGGUGCCGGCGAGUGGCGAACGGGUGAGUAAUAUAUCGGAACGUACCUUUCAGUGGGGGAUAACGUAGCGAAAGUUACGCUAAUACCGCAUAUUCUGUGAGCAGGAAAGCAGGGGAUCGCAAGACCUUGCGCUGAUUGAGCGGCCGAUAUCAGAUUAGCUAGUUGGUGAGGUAAAGGCUCACCAAGGCGACGAUCUGUAGCGGGUCUGAGAGGAUGAUCCGCCACACUGGAACUGAGACACGGUCCAGACUCCUACGGGAGGCAGCAGUGGGGAAUUUUGGACAAUGGGCGCAAGCCUGAUCCAGCCAUGCCGCGUGAGUGAAGAAGGCCUCGGUUGUAAGACUCUUCGUCC
Molecule: ribosomal RNA, 406 nt
Filed under: uncultured bacterium
Lineage: Bacteria
Description: bacterial SSU rRNA
Rfam family: Bacterial small subunit ribosomal RNA
Source: RNAcentral